GUGCUCACUUUGGCAGCACAUAUACUAAAAUUGGACCUAUACAGAGAAGACUAGCAUGGCUCCUGCACAAGAAAAAAAAAAAUAAUAAAAAGAGUGGAGAUGAAGUGCUUU
This is a small nuclear RNA of Pipistrellus kuhlii (Kuhl's pipistrelle), 111 nucleotides long. NCBI's taxonomy places the organism in Eukaryota, Metazoa, Chordata, Mammalia, Chiroptera, Vespertilionidae. The record is from RefSeq and is a predicted model, not a curated record.